GAUGAACGCUGGCGGCGUGCUUAACACAUGCAAGUCGAACGAUGAAGCCCAGCUUGCUGGGUGGAUUAGUGGCGAACGGGUGAGUAACACGUGAGUAACCUGCCCUUAACUCUGGGAUAAGCCUGGGAAACUGGGUCUAAUACCGGAUAGGAGCGCCUACCGCAUGGUGGGUGUUGGAAAGAUUUAUCGGUUUUGGAUGGACUCGCGGCCUAUCCGCUUGUUGGUGAGGUAAUGGCUCACCAAGGCGACGACGGGUAGCCGGCCUGAGAGGGUGACCGGCCACACUGGGACUGAGACACGGCCCAGACUCCUACGGGAGGCAGCAGUGGGGAAUAUUACACAAUGGGCGAAAGCCUGAUGCAGCGACGCCGCGUGAGGGAUGACGGCCUUCAGGUUGUAAACCUCUUUCAGUAGGGAAGAAGCGAAAGUGACGGUACCUGCAGAAGAAGCACCGGCUAACUACGUG
RNAcentral lists this ribosomal RNA (466 nucleotides) under uncultured bacterium. Its description in RNAcentral is "partial 16S ribosomal RNA". It matches the Rfam family "Bacterial small subunit ribosomal RNA", at positions 28 to 507 of the family's 1533-position model. The record is from RNAcentral.